Molecule: ribosomal RNA, 417 nt
Filed under: uncultured bacterium
Lineage: Bacteria
Description: partial 16S ribosomal RNA
Rfam family: Bacterial small subunit ribosomal RNA
Source: RNAcentral
AAUAUUGGUCAAUGGAGGCAACUCUGAACCAGCCAUGCCGCGUGCAGGAUGACGGUCCUAUGGAUUGUAAACUGCUUUUGUACAGGAAGAAAAAGAGUUACGUGUAGCUUAUUGACGGUACUGUAAGAAUAAGGAUCGGCUAACUCCGUGCCAGCAGCCGCGGUAAUACGGAGGAUCCAAGCGUUAUCCGGAAUCAUUGGGUUUAAAGGGUCCGUAGGCGGCCUUAUAAGUCAGCGGUGAAAGUUUUUGGCUUAACCAAAAAAUUGCCGUUGAUACUGUAGGGCUUGAAUUUUUGUGAAGUAACUAGAAUAUGUAGUGUAGCGGUGAAAUGCUUAGAUAUGUCCCAGAACCCCGAUUGCGAAGGCAGCUUCCUAGACCGUUAUUGACGCUGAUGCACGAAAGCGUGGGGAUCGAACA